CGGACCCGGUGAAAGCCCGGGUGGCUCUUCCGGCCGCCGAUCCGCCGGACAAC
This 53-nucleotide non-coding RNA is filed under the name uncultured Methylobacterium sp. Its description in RNAcentral is "sul1 RNA". It matches the Rfam family "sul1 RNA". The record is from RNAcentral. Lineage: Bacteria; Pseudomonadati; Pseudomonadota; Alphaproteobacteria; Hyphomicrobiales; Methylobacteriaceae.